GCCGGCAUGGCGAAAUGGCAGACGCAAGGGACUUAAAAUCCCUUGGGAGGUGACUCCCGUGCGGGUUCGAGUCCCGCUGCCGGUAC
This 86-nucleotide transfer RNA is filed under the name Verrucomicrobiota bacterium. RNAcentral describes it as "tRNA-Leu". It matches the Rfam family "tRNA". From Rfam's summary of the family: Transfer RNA (tRNA) molecules are approximately 80 nucleotides in length. Their secondary structure includes four short double-helical elements and three loops (D, anti-codon, and T loops). The record is from RNAcentral. Lineage: Bacteria; Pseudomonadati; Verrucomicrobiota.